Molecule: ribosomal RNA, 521 nt
Filed under: uncultured archaeon
Lineage: Archaea
Description: bacterial SSU rRNA
Rfam family: Archaeal small subunit ribosomal RNA
Source: RNAcentral
ACGGGGUGCAGCAGGCGCGAAAACUUCACAAUGUGGGCAACCACGAUGAGGGAAUUCCCAAGUGCUCAUGCUUUGCAUGUGCUGUUUCUUAGCCUAAGUAGCUGGGAGAGUAAGGGCUGGGUAAGACGGGUGCCAGCCGCCGCGGUAAUACCCGCAGCCCGAGUGGUGAUCGGUUUUAUUGGGCCUAAAGCGUCCGUAGCCGGUUUGGUAAAUUCCUGGGUAAAUCGAGUCGCUUAACGAUUCGAAUUCCGGGAACACUGCCAGACUUGGGACUGGGAGAGGCCAGAGGUACUCCAGGGGUAGGGGUGAAAUCCUGUAAUCCUUGGGGGACCACCAGUGGCGAAGGCGUCUGGCUAGAACGGGUCCGACGGUAAGGGACGAAGCCCUGGGGCACAAACCGGAUUAGAUACCCGGGUAGUCCAGGGUGUAAACGCUGCGAGCUUGGUGUUGGGGGUCCCACGUGGGCGUCCAGUGCCGGAGAGAAGUUGUUAAGCUCGCCGCCUGGGAGUACGUCGCAAGAC